GUAUUUAAAAAUAAGUAACACAUUCUACACAUGCAUUAAUGGGUUGUUCGUGUAAAAACGUGAAACCCCCUCCCGGAACAAGCCAAAAGAGAGGGCCCCACGCGGUGAUGCACAAAGGGGUGAGAUGGAUUGUAAGAGAGCACCGGAGCGUGCACAAAGUCAGCGACAGCCCCGGCACCUCCGUUAUACGAUAAUGAUCCUUCCGCAGGUUCACCUACGGAAA
This 223-nucleotide unclassified non-coding RNA is filed under the name uncultured fungus. Its description in RNAcentral is "sequence contains ITS1". Lineage: Eukaryota; Fungi. The record is from RNAcentral.